This 219-nucleotide ribosomal RNA is filed under the name uncultured bacterium. RNAcentral's name for it is "partial 16S ribosomal RNA". It matches the Rfam family "Bacterial small subunit ribosomal RNA", at positions 524 to 740 of the family's 1533-position model. The record is from RNAcentral.
UACGGGGGGGGGCAAGCGUUGUUCGGAAUACUGGGCGUAAAGCGUGCGCAGGCGGUUUUGUAAGACAGGUGUGAAAUCCCCCGGGCUUAACCUGGGAACUGCGCUUGUGACUGCAAGACUCGAGUACGGCAGAGGGGGGUAGAAUUCCACGUGUAGCAGUGAAAUGCGUAGAGAUGUGGAGGAAUACCGAUGGCGAAGGCAGCCCCCUGGGUCGAUGAC